UGGUCUCCCACAUGUAAGCUGAUCCUCUAGAACUUGUGCUCAGCUGGGAUUUGUCCAAGAGUCUCUCCAUCCUGGGCCCCUGCCAAGAUGUCUUUUGCUGCAUGAGGUUGCCCAAGAACUCCCAAGAAGGGGCCAGGCCUAGUCUAACAAUACCAGUUCAUUAAGAUAAACAAGGAACCAAAUGGAGACCCUGAUAUCACUAAGAGGAACCCAGCAGUUGGCGCAGGUGAUGAUAUUGGUUGCUGUGCUGUGGUGCACUAGAGAAUCUUGAUCGUGCAAGCAUGAAUUUUGUCUUGGCAAAUCCAGAAGGAAUGAUGCACCUGUAUUUAAACUUGCAGACCUUGGAAAACCCUUGCAAAGAGCGGCAAGCCUAUUGAUAGGCUUUUGGCUGCAGCCAAAGAAGCCAGAAGCAGCAUUUUUGCUGAGAUGAAUGAAAAAAGGGGUCAGUGGUGACUGCCUCUGCUCUCAGCUGCCACUCAACAGGUAGGUCAAG
Molecule: long non-coding RNA, 493 nt
Filed under: Crocodylus porosus (Australian saltwater crocodile)
Lineage: Eukaryota; Metazoa; Chordata; Crocodylia; Crocodylidae
Description: lncRNA (ENSCPRG00005019117.1)
Source: RNAcentral